UACGAAGGGGGCUAGCGUUGCUCGGAAUUACUGGGCGUAAAGCGAGUGUAGGUGGUUGUCACAGUCAGGUGUGAAAGCCUUGAGCUCAACUCAAGAAAUGCACUUGAUACUGGGCGACUAGAGGACCGGAGAGGAUAGUGGAAUUCCCAGUGUAGUGGUGAAAUACGUAGAGAUUGGGAAGAACACCAGUGGCGAAGGCGGCUAUCUGGACGGUUUCUGACACUAAGACUCGAAAGCGUGGGGAGCAAACAGG
RNAcentral lists this ribosomal RNA (253 nucleotides) under uncultured Rhodospirillaceae bacterium. RNAcentral's name for it is "partial 16S ribosomal RNA". It matches the Rfam family "Bacterial small subunit ribosomal RNA", at positions 524 to 776 of the family's 1533-position model. Lineage: Bacteria; Pseudomonadati; Pseudomonadota; Alphaproteobacteria; Rhodospirillales; Rhodospirillaceae. The record is from RNAcentral.